This 484-nucleotide ribosomal RNA is filed under the name uncultured bacterium. Its description in RNAcentral is "partial 16S ribosomal RNA". It matches the Rfam family "Bacterial small subunit ribosomal RNA", at positions 30 to 507 of the family's 1533-position model. The record is from RNAcentral.
AUUGAACGCUGGCGGCAGGCCUAACACAUGCAAGUCGAGCGGAAGAAGGGAGCUUGCUCCUGGAUUCAGAGGCGGACGGGUGAGUAAUGCCUAGGAAUCUGCCUGGUAGUGGGGGAUAACGUCCGGAAACGGGCGCUAAUACCGCAUACGUCCUGAGGGAGAAAGUGGGGGAUCUUCGGACCUCACGCUAUCAGAUGAGCCUAGGUCGGAUUAGCUAGUUGGUGGGGUAAAGGCCUACCAAGGCGACGAUCCGUAACUGGUCUGAGAGGAUGAUCAGUCACACUGGAACUGAGACACGGUCCAGACUCCUACGGGAGGCCGCAGUGGGGAAUAUUGGACAAUGGGCGGAAGCCUGAUCCAGCCAUGCCGCGUGUGUGAAGAAGGUCUUCGGAUUGUAAAGCACUUUAAGUUGGGAGGAAGGGCAGUAAGUUAAUACCUUGCUGUUUUGACGUUACCAACAGAAUAAGCACCGGCUAACUUCGUG